AGUAAAAAAGGGCAACCAAUGCCAACAAAAUGGUCGUUUUAUUAUAUUGCAUCGUUUUAAGCUUGGACUUGCGCAGCAGACAAAUCCUGGGGCGACAAAUCCAAUCAAAUCCAAUCAAAUCCCAAAUCCAAAUCGUGUCACAUCACGUGCGCCGUCAAGCGGAAGCGCAGAGCAUCUUGUCGAUCGCGGUCGAUCGCUCUUUGAUCCUCACAGUCACCUCACAGUGUUAACAGUUCACAUCGAAGAGGUUGCGUGGCGGAUUUAGACUGAGACUGAGACAGCCCGACGAUCCCAAUUGCAAUCCAGUUCCAGACGAGUUGACGAGUUUGUCGACUUCUUUUGAAAGCCAAGAGCCUAGUUCGGCGGAAGAGGUGUGUACCUACACAAUAUCGGUGGCUCUGACUGUCAAUGGGUUCCAGCGUAUACCGCAAUUUCCUCCGUCUGCUGGAGACGUGGCCGGCCGACCGAACCAAGGCAGGCAGGUCAGUG
Molecule: unclassified non-coding RNA, 489 nt
Filed under: Amphibalanus amphitrite
Lineage: Eukaryota; Metazoa; Arthropoda; Thecostraca; Balanomorpha; Balanidae
Description: polyphosphoinositide phosphatase-like, transcript variant X3
Source: RNAcentral